GGCGUACUUUCAGAGAACAUUUUG
This 24-nucleotide microRNA is filed under the name Gossypium raimondii (Peruvian cotton). RNAcentral's name for it is "gra-miR8662". Lineage: Eukaryota; Viridiplantae; Streptophyta; Magnoliopsida; Malvales; Malvaceae. The record is from miRBase by way of RNAcentral.